Long non-coding RNA from Cyprinodon variegatus (sheepshead minnow), 1418 nucleotides. RefSeq lists it as uncharacterized. Lineage: Eukaryota; Metazoa; Chordata; Actinopteri; Cyprinodontiformes; Cyprinodontidae. The record is from RefSeq and is a predicted model, not a curated record. The transcript has 4 exons.
UGCCGACUACACCUCCUUCCAACACCACAACAGCUGCUCCUUCUACUACUACUACCAGUAGUACUACUACUAGUCCUACUACUCCUACUACUACUACUACUACUACUACUACUACUACUACUACUACUACUGCUGCUGCUGGCACCACUACUGCUACUACUGCCACCAAAACAUCUCCUGGAGGGAAUGGACAUUGUCUUUCACCAAGGAUUACUGCUCUGAUAGCUAUCUUAACUGUCCUCAUCUUCAUCACCAUUGUCCUAUUCUUCAUCUACAGAAAGCAACGUAAGCGCCACUAUCCUGUUGCUUCAAAACUCCAGUUGGUAAACGUGUCAUCUUGAGGAGAGGAUCAUCUCUGGACUAGUCUGUGAAUCCACAUGCUUCAAGAGAGAAGUGUGGAAAUCAGCUUCUGCCGAGCAGCCAUUCUGUGAUUCAGACACUUGACAUUUAUUCUCUCUCAAUGCUUCAAACAACCUGUCUGAUUAGCCAUAGUAAUUUACAGUGUUUACAUCGAUUCAUAUCCCUUUUUUUUUUUUUUUUACUUUAUAUCUCUUCCUAAAUUGCAGCUUAUCUUAAAAUAGUGGGAGAAACAAAAACAUUGUCUUGUGAAAAUAGUGCAUCUUUUAGUGCUUAAUUAACAAACAUCAUGUCUGCCUAGAAGGUUUUGACCUGUUGAAUUUGACAAAUAAAGCCCUAGUGGAUUAAACCCCUUAAUCUUAGUGUUCCAUAUUUAUGAACUAGACAAUAGCUUCUCUUGAAAAGUUCUGAAAUUAUUUCCUAACAAAGCGCAUAUCAUUCAAUAUAUGCAUCAAUGCAAAAACAAAAAAAACCCAAAUCUUUAUUCGUAGUAUGUUAAAUAGUUUUGUAUGUUUAACUUUUAUUUAUCAACUUUGUUAAUCCCAAAGAAGAAAAAACAUGCUGUUUAUACUUUAUAUGUUUUUUUUUUCCAAUGAGUUGUUGUAGAUGCUGAUUGCUGUGGGAAGGAGGGAUCUUCUAUAGCAGCCUCUGACUGAACACACUCUGUUGUAUGAAAGGCCAAUGAAGGCUAUUCUCAGGGUUGACCAUGAUAGUUUUCACUUUACCACAUAGUAUGAGGAAUAGCACCUUCUUUUUAUAAUCAAGGCUUCAGUAUUGAAAGGGAUCAAAUUGAAAUAGAUUUAUUAAAGCUUACUUCAAAGAUGUUUGCACUUCAUGUUUAUUAAAAUGAUAAUGUUAAUGUUUAUAUUUUUAUGGAGACAAUUGUAAAACUAUAGAAUUUCUUACUUCAAUUGAAAUAAUAUUACACAACAUCCUAUACAAGUAUUUUCUGCAUCUUGAUGGAUUGAUGGAUGUUGGAUGAUGGAUAGCUGUUUUCCUUUAAUAAAUGAAAUCCUAUGUAAGCAGCGUUGGAUUUAUGUUUUCUGAUUUUUUUUUUCACU